ACCCCUGUUGCAGGCCUCGACCGAGAUUCCUCGACAAAUGACCCCCAUCUGAGCUUCUGCGAAGAUCAAACUCCAACCGAACUUCGACCGACAGGUCUGGACCCUCUGGCAGGCCCCAGUAACGGCCACAACUCUGCUCCACCUCCUGUGAUGGAUUCCACGCAGCUCCAUCACUCCCUGACAGGCCGCAGUAAUGGCCACAACUUUGCUCCACUUCCUGCGAUGAAUUCUGCACGGCUCCAUCACUCCCUAACAGACCACAAUAAUGGCCACAAUCCUACUCCACUUCCUACGACAAAUAUCGCACGGAUCCUCCAUCCUCUGGCA
RNAcentral lists this long non-coding RNA (327 nucleotides) under Elaeis guineensis (African oil palm). Its description in RNAcentral is "long non-coding RNA (EGUI_LNC050306)". The record is from RNAcentral. Lineage: Eukaryota; Viridiplantae; Streptophyta; Magnoliopsida; Arecales; Arecaceae.